RNAcentral lists this ribosomal RNA (165 nucleotides) under uncultured bacterium. RNAcentral's name for it is "partial 16S rRNA". It matches the Rfam family "Bacterial small subunit ribosomal RNA", at positions 355 to 511 of the family's 1533-position model. The record is from RNAcentral.
UAGGGAAUCUUCGGCAAUGGACGAAAGUCUGACCGAGCAACGCCGCGUGAGUGAAGAAGGUUUUCGGACCGUAAAACUCUGUUGGUAGAGAAGAGCGUUGGUGAGAGUGGAAAGCUCAUCAAGUGACGGUAACUACCCAGAAAGGGACGGCUAACUACGUGCUAG